RNAcentral lists this small nucleolar RNA (187 nucleotides) under Saccharomyces cerevisiae (brewer's yeast). RNAcentral describes it as "Small nucleolar RNA snR9". It matches the Rfam family "Small nucleolar RNA snR9". Lineage: Eukaryota; Fungi; Ascomycota; Saccharomycetes; Saccharomycetales; Saccharomycetaceae. The record is from Rfam by way of RNAcentral.
GGGAAUAUAAUACUAAAUACUCUGUUAUAUAGAACUUUCUACGCCUUUUCCUCUAUGGCUAUGAAAGCGUGGACAACGGAGAUCAAAUAGACCAAUUACUGAAUAUGGCUUUUGACAUAUCUUCUUCUUCAUGGGUGAGGAUUAAGCUGAUAUCCUGACCCACCUAUCAUUAGUCCUUCAGACAUAC